GCGCUCAUUCGGUAGCAUGUAGACUAGAACUGGAAUGAUCCAGAGAAGAUUACCAUCGCCCCUCGGAAGGAUGGCAGGCAAAUUUGUGAGGCGUUCCUUAUUUAG
Molecule: small nuclear RNA, 105 nt
Organism: Lontra canadensis (Northern American river otter)
Lineage: Eukaryota; Metazoa; Chordata; Mammalia; Carnivora; Mustelidae
Source: RefSeq, a predicted model, not a curated record